UUGCAUUAGAAUUAGAAUCUAAUUAUACUAAAAUCACACCCUUUUCUACACUUUUAACAAUU
This 62-nucleotide transfer RNA is filed under the name Nesticus brimleyi. RNAcentral's name for it is "tRNA-Leu". The record is from RNAcentral. Lineage: Eukaryota; Metazoa; Arthropoda; Arachnida; Araneae; Nesticidae.